Molecule: long non-coding RNA, 304 nt
Organism: Erigeron canadensis
Lineage: Eukaryota; Viridiplantae; Streptophyta; Magnoliopsida; Asterales; Asteraceae
Exons: 3
Source: RefSeq, a predicted model, not a curated record
GUAUAUUCAUAUAAGAGUCAAUCGUGUGAUGACGUCUUGGCCAACAAUAUACUUUUGAGAUACCGCCAACACAGCAAAAUCAUAUUGCCCCCAACUAUAUCAAGAUGUACAACUUAAUAACACCAAGGCACCUGAUGAGAACGAAGAAACAGUGUAUGUGUUAAAUAAAGAACUUAUUGCAGAGGUCUUAACACAAGUUGCUACUCGUGUCGAUAAGAAGAAAAAGUUACAGGAGGCUCGGGAAGUUGCAAACCACAACUCUUUAUGUAUUUAAAUUCUCUAGUCAAUUUGGUUGUUACGUAAG